UACGUCCCGGCCUUGUACACACCGCCCGUCACACCACGAAAGUCAGUUGCAACAGAAGCGCCCGCCUCGGGUGGGAACCAAGUUGUGAUUGGUGAUUGGGGUG
This 103-nucleotide ribosomal RNA is filed under the name uncultured bacterium. RNAcentral describes it as "partial 16S ribosomal RNA". It matches the Rfam family "Bacterial small subunit ribosomal RNA", at positions 1367 to 1482 of the family's 1533-position model. The record is from RNAcentral.